UUGUAGAAAGUUGGCUUAGAUAUUUUCUUCUCUCUCUUCAAGCCGGUACACGUCCGACAUUUUUCUACACCAAAGCUCUCUCCUUUCCUUCCUUCCAAGGAUCUCUCGUCUCUCCAUCAUCUCUCUUCAAUCCACAGUUUUCUUGGUCGAUGUUUAUGGUUGUUCUUUGAUGAAUGUAAGAGUAUAUGGGCAUAACUUUAGGCUAUGGUCUGGAUCUUCUCUCCACGAAAAUGUGAAUAUCUUUGACACUCAGACCAGAAAGUUCUUCUCCCAUCAAUUGCCUGUAUAUGCCACAAUGGACUGGUCAACUGUGCUAUCAGAGUUAUUUCUUCUAUAACAUAUUACAUUGGAAAGGUCAUAUUUACUGAAGGAAAGAGGGAUGGUGUAUCUCUUGCUUUUGGCAUCGGGCCCUUGGCGGGAGGCCUGCAUGACGGGCUAUUAGUUCAAUGGUAGAGCGUGCCCCUGAUAAUUGCGUUGUUGUGCCUAGACUAUGAGAACUCAGCCACAUGGAUAGUUCAAUGUGCUCGUCAGUGCCUUUGAGAUGUGGAUCAUCCAAGCACAUUAGCAUGGCGUACUUCUCCUGUUCGAACUAGGGUCUCAAACCAAACUUCUCCUUAGCAGGAUAGAUGGGGCGAUUCAGGUGAGAUCUGAUGUAGAUUCAACUUUCUAUUCACUCGUGGGAUCUGGACGGUCUGGGGGACCACCGCGGCUCCUCUCUUAUCGAGAAUCCAUAUAUCUCUUAUCAAUGUAUGGACGGCUAUCUCUCGAGCACAGGUUUAAGUUCGGCAUCGAUGGGAAAAUAAAAUGGAGUACUUAACAACGUAUCUUCAAAACCAAGAACUACGAGAUCGCCCGUACAAUGUAAUUUAUGUAAUUUGAUGGUCCAUUUUUUUGUGUUUCUCAUUAAAUACCUUGCCUAUGUCUUUUGCCUACCCUUUUCUUUUGGACUUUUUAUUAAAAGUUGCCUUGUAUUUUAUUUUUAUUUGUAUAGCAAUAUUAGAGGAUGCCUUCUGAGAAAUUGUUGAAGGACCAAUUGGUUCAUGGUGCAUCUUGGCACCCAUUGAUUUUAAUUUCUCAAUUCAAUAUUGCAAUUUAAUGGAGUGUUCAAUUGCAUGACAAAGAAAGUAAAAGGAAAGUUUGUAAUUCAUAUCUUCACAGAACAGUUGAAAGUUCUAGGUAAAAGAUGGUUUUUACUGGCGAGUGAACGGGUCUUGUGGUCUCCUAAUCUUACUUGUUAUUCCAUCAACUUCCUAGAUGGCAUGAAUGAAAAAUUGGCAGUGGCUUUUUGAUGAGAUUAUGCUAGUUUGUCAUAUUAUAUUUUCUUUUUGUGAUCAUUAACCUAAUGUGCUGGUUUCUAAGAGUAACUAUUAACAACAGAAAUCUUGGUUCAUUUUGAGGUGCUUAAUUUUUUAAUGCUUUUGAUUGUAGGAAUAAUUUACUGUGGUGAAAAUAUAGAAGUUUAGCACAUCAAGGAAAGGAAUUUCCAUUGGCUAUUUGUGAUGGGAUUUUGAAGGUUGGUUAAAAAUAAAGAUAGAGAACAUAGUUUUGAGUAAUCCUAGUGUAGAAAACUUGGAUAUGGAAUAAGCUUGUCAUUAGUGAAAGAACAACAAAAGCAAAAUGUUUGUUGGAGAUUCCUGGCAAUAAUAUUGUGCUAUAGUAAAUAUGUUGACCAGGUGAUAGAUAAGCUUGGAUAGUUUCAUUAGGAAAUUAUUUUGGUCAUAACGCAUUAAGUAAGCAAAUUGUUAAGAAAUCACUCAACAAGCUUAAGCUUGUAAAUGAGGACCCAAAAAUAAUCUUAUAUAUCUUUUGUUACUCAUUGGUUUAGGAUAAGCAAAUUGUACCAAAUAUAAAGACUUAGGGCAGUCCAACUUUUAGGAUAGAGAUGUUCUUAGCCAAUUUUUCCAAUAUGGUAUUAAAGCUUGUCCCCAUUUCAAUAUUGGGCCUCCUGUAGAUGUUUAUACUUGUAAACUUCACACUCAAAAUGUUCAUGUUUGUGUGGCAGGGGAAUAUAUUGUCCUACGGUGGUUUUGAGAUGAGGAAAUUGUAUUAAAUAUAAAGACUUUGGCAAUCCUUCCCUCUUGUGCUUGCUUUGGUGUAGAGUUAGGCUCGAUCCAUUUCUCAAAUAAUCUUUAAUAACCCCUACACAUGAAUGUCCACUAGGCUUGAAAAAUAAACAAGCAUAGAGUCACUUCAUCUUAUACUUAAAUAUUCAAUUGGAAGGUCUAUAGUUCUUAACAAAUCUUACUCCUUCAAAAAUGUCCUUUGCAAUUUACCAUCGGAUGGAUUUUAUGCAUAAAGACAUCUUCUCCUCAAGUAAAUUUAUAAAGGUCAAGAGGGGAAAAAUCGCUAGGGAAAAGAUUUUGAUGAAUGUUAAUUUUCAAGAAAGAGAGUCUUUUAAGUGAGGAACGCUAACUUUGCAACUACACUUAAUUCAAAUAAGCCUUAAUAGUAGUCUCGUCGCGGUUGGUUAAAUGGAAGUUUUGUUCUCCCUUUCCUUUCUUCCUUUCUUUCUUUUUUUUUUUUUUUUUUUUUCUUUUGUGUGUGUGUGUGUGUGUUUAGGAGAGGUUUAUUGCUACCAAUAUCAAGCCCGUUUUUCCUAUACUUCAUUGCAUGCCGUUGGAAAUCUUUCUCUUGAGGAACAUAUCCAAAACUAUGUGUUAGUAUGCUUAACAUCCCAUUCUAGUGCAUAGGUUGUUAUAUGACAAACAUAAACCAUCUCAAUCAUUCCUUCACAAUUUCUAACUUCCUAAAAAUGCUUUUACUCAUUCUCCAGUCUCUAUUUCUAUCUUAGCAUUGUCAUCCUUUUCAUGCUAUUUUUUUUUUCUUACAGCAAAGCAGAUUGAAUUGCCGAUCUAAGGUAGUUGCAGUUUCUUAGACUCUACUAAAAGAUGCUAUAUAUUUUGAAUAUUUUUGCCAACGUCAGUUUUGGUCCAAUUAUCCCUUUUUCUCUCCUAGUUGAACCCAUUAACCCCACCCUUUUUCCUUUUUGGGUGUGGGAGGCUUCUCUCUCCCUCUCUUUUUGUUUCUCUUGCUUUCUCUCUAUAAUUUAACACUAGAAGUGAAACUCGAAGUACUACACUGAUGAACAUUAUGAAGCAUUUUAAUAUCAAUAAAUUAAAAGUAAGCAUGUUUUUCUUUAAAUGCUGGCAGCAAAAUUCAUGGAAGUGUUAAGCAUUAUAGCGUCACGUAAUUUCUGUGAUGGCCGGGUUUUGCGGCACUGUGACUGAUAUUGGACUAGUGAUGCUUGGACUGGUAAGCAGGAAGUCACAAGUGCCUUGAGUAUUUACAUACUGACCUAAAUGUAGUAUUGGAUGUUGGAAUGCGACGUCUAACGCAAAUGUUGAGUUAGAUCCCAGAGCUUGUUGCUUUUUGGAAGAAAAUGGCAUUGCAGAGAUUGCCAUGGGCUUGAAAGAGAACCUGCAGAGCGUUGUUAAACAAUUGUAAGUGAACUUGGGCACUGUUGGGAGGAGAUUUAUGCAUGAAUUUGUCACGUGUUCACCAUGAAUUUUGAUUGUCUAAUAAAUUGUUUUCUGACAAAGGAUUUUGUGCUUAUACAUAUGUGAAAAGGAUUUUCACAGAUGUCAUGCUCUCAACUUUGUCAAAGGUGAUAUUUCCAAGACAGAAGCUUAAUGUCUGGUUGUGUGCAGUGACCUGACUGCUACAAAGUAUCCAGCAACUACUGGGAGGUCCUUAAUGCUGCAACACAUCUAAUUUUAAGUUAUAAUUAGUGCUGAAUGGAAGCGACUUUAAGCAUUACUGAAUAAGGGCAAUUUGUGGUUUUCUGUAAUUCGGCGAAAAUCUCAAUUUGUACUACAGCUUGAGAUUGGAGAACGUAUUGAGAUGGUUGUGUCUUGAAAGUUUGCCUUUCGAGGAACCAAAUAGUUAUACAUCAGAGAUAACUUGAG
This is a long non-coding RNA of Manihot esculenta (cassava), 3905 nucleotides long. RefSeq lists it as uncharacterized. The transcript has 5 exons. NCBI's taxonomy places the organism in Eukaryota, Viridiplantae, Streptophyta, Magnoliopsida, Malpighiales, Euphorbiaceae. The record is from RefSeq and is a predicted model, not a curated record.